CGGGGGUACAAGGCAUGGUCUGCGGCGCCGCACCUUGUUGUUCCCUGCCGGUGGCGGGCGAGCUGCAGUGGCGCUUCUCUGUUGCGUGGCGAGGGACGGGGGCGGAAGGUGUGCAUCUGCAGUGCCACUCCUGGGGCAUGCCUCUCCGGCGACAUUGCCGGCGUACACAACAUACCUUACUACACGGGGAUUUCAUCUCUGAACUAAAUAUUACGUCCGAAGACUGAAACAUCCAGAAGAUUUAUUGAGACUAUUCAUUGAUGGUCUUUCUCUACUACACGAGGAAGGCCUGAGGUAGACAAACAUAACAACUGAUGAAAGAAGAACAUAUUUGUACCUUGUUGCCCGCUGACUAUAUGCAUGGUUGAAUUGUAGUAUGUGUGAUACAUGAGAAUAAUGUAAUAUGAAGUGAAACAUGGUGGAUAGGGCUUCGUGAAUGAGCUGGCGGAGAAGAUGUCAGUGGUGGAAGCGGAGAUGUUAUAGAAGAUGUUGCGGGCGGUACCGGAGGAAAUGGCCAAAUGGGGUUCCUCGGAGCCGACAAGAAGGAUGCUGCAGCGGCACAUAUUGGUUUCCAUUUCCAUCCAGAGAAGAACUUAUGAACGAAGAGAUAUCCUAGAAGUUGAGUGCAGUUGGAGGGGCCUCAGUCCUUUUGAGCCAAGAAAAGUAGAUGGGGCAUGUCCAAGCUAUGAAUAGUAGAUGGGAAAGUGUUGAAAUAUUUUGUGUUUCCAUGGUUUGUAAAUGGUAGGAGGUAUAUGUAGUAACCUGUACGG
Molecule: non-coding RNA, 770 nt
Organism: Triticum urartu
Lineage: Eukaryota; Viridiplantae; Streptophyta; Magnoliopsida; Poales; Poaceae
Source: RefSeq, a predicted model, not a curated record